CUGGGGGGAGUUGCGCCGCGACGCGCACCGUCGCUUUGCAGGAGCGCUGCGGUGCGGUGACUCCCAGCGCCGGUGCUCAGAGCCGGGCGGGAUACGGAGCGCUGCGGGAAGGAUGCGGUCCGCAACAACGCACCCCGGUAACGCGGGCUGCUAGGAAAAUAAAAGUUAUCCAGACUCAAAACACACUCGUCAAACACACCGAAAAGUUUGAAUUAUUUAUUUCCUCUGGGGACUCCUGUAUCCAUUUAUUUUUAAUAGAGCCUAAUUAAGAGUUCCCCAGCGGGUUUUACUUUCGUAAAUAUUUCAGAUGAUUUCGGGCUUCCGGGCAAAUCCUCCAGAGGAAAAGAAAAAUGUAAUGAAAGAAGCGAGGCGCGGAGUUUCAGCCCUUCCCUCCCGUCGGCCGAAGCGACAACAAGUGGCCGCCGGGCGCGAGCAGCGCGGCCCCUUCGGGAACGGCCCGGGGGCUCCGGAGAGGAACGAAGAUACACCGCGACGCGACGGCUCCGGGCCCGGCCGAGGAGCGGCUGUGCGGGACGGGACGCAGCGAGCGGCGCGUAAAGAGUACGGAGAGCUCUUCGUUUUAAAGAUAGAAGAAAACGAGGCACAGGGAAAGGAGAUUUUUCGAUCAUUUUUUUUUUUUUUUGGAAGAAAUCCGGUAAACAAAACAAACAAACAAAAAAUUAAAACUUUUCUUCGUCUGAUAUGUCAAAACAUCGUUCACAGUAAAAUUCACAAACCGAUUUACAUAAGUUUACAGCUUAAGAAAAACCCAGACACACAACUUGCUAUAAAUAAAAGAAAGGGUUUGCGACCCGCACAGCUCUCUCCCACCGCCCCCUUUCCGUAGGAACAAAACCCUAAAGUUAAAAACUCUACGAAUUGCGGACACGAACCGAGCGGCGCUCGGCAAGGUGGGAAGAACAACACUUUCAGUAACCACAACGAAAAUGUAAACAACGGAACGACUGAGUUUGAAAACAACGCCCGCCGGGUCGGUUUUUCGUUUUGUCAUUGCAACGCUAAAAUGGAACGGGGCGAUGCACCAUCUUUAAGACUCGGAAGCGAACAAAACUACGCCCAACCCCGCGGAGACCGGGAGAGUCGCCGUGGCUUAAGAACUUCGCGGGGCUUUAGGAGGCGGUUGCGCUCUGUUAAAAGAACAGAUUGCCCAAAUCGUUUUUUUUUUUUUUUGUACAAAAGAAAAAAGAAAAUGAAGACAACGAACGGAUUUUCUGUUUAAAAUUUCUCCCAAGUUAGUAUCGAGUCUGCUGAGCCGCACGUCCCGGCGCUGGGGUUGCGAUGAGGAGCCGUCCGGAGGAGGCCAGUUUGUUUAUAUGUGAGUUAGUGGUACGGUGCCGUUCACGGCAGUCCCGGCACUCUGGUAGUGCUGGUGCACACUGUGCAACCUGCUGCCCUGCAGGGCCGAAGGGUCUGUGGCGUCGCCCCCCGGGGGCAGGUACAUGCUGAUCAUAUCCCGCAGGUCUCCCAGGCAGGCCCUCUGCGAGUGCGAGGUGAUGGCCGGCGGAGGCGAGCUGGGCUCGGACUUGACCACCGAGCCCAUGGAGCCCAGGCUCAUGGCCGUGGAGGGCUGCUGGCCGUAGGCGGCGGGGGACAUGCUGUAGGUGGAGGCGGCGUUCAUGUAGGUCUGCGCCGUGGACAUCAUGGGGCUGUACUGCAGGCCCGGCAUGUCGUAGCGGUGCAUCUGCUGCAGCUGCGGGCUGUUCAUGCCCGGGUGCUGCCCGUAGCCCAGCUGGUCUUGCAUCAGGGAGUAAGCCCCGUUGGUCCAACCGUUCAUAUGAGCGUAAGUGUCAAUCCUCUGGCCCACCCCGACGGGGCUGCUCACCGCGUUGCCCCCUCCGGGGGCCAGCAGGUUGCCCGGCAGCGAGUAUUUGUCCUUCUUCAGCAAGGUCUUGGUCUUCCUCCGGGGCCGGUAUUUGUAAUCCGGGUACUCCUUCAUGUGCACGGCCCGCAGCCUCUUGGCCUCGUCGAUGAAGGGCCGCUUCUCGGCAUCGCUCAGCAGCUUCCAAUCGGCCCCGAGGCGCUUGCUGAUCUCCGAGUUGUGCAUCUUGGGAUUCUCCUGGGCCAUCUUCCGCCGCUGGCCCCGCGACCACACCAUGAAUGCGUUCAUGGGGCGCUUCACCCGGUCCUGGUCCGACCCGGCACCCGCUCCGCUGCCGGCCCCGCCGCCGCCUUUGCCGUUGCCGCCCGGGGCCGGGUUCCCCCCGGCGCUGCCCGGCGUGGGCUGCGGCGUCUUGAUCUCGGUCUCCAGCAUGCUGUACAUGGCCGGGGCCGGUAAGAGAUGCGCCAGGGUGGCAGACGGGCGGGCACAGCUCGGGGAAAGGAAGUUCAAAAUAAUAAGAGUAAAAGAAAGAACCGGUCCGGGCGGCGGCCGCAGGAGGGGGAAGGAGUUUUCCCGUGCCGCUCCCCGAGGUGCAGCGGAGGUUCCCGCGGGCAGCGCUGAGCGACGCGCACACCUCUCCCGGGGGCAUUUGAUUGACGGGCUAUAAAUGAGAGGGCGGCGGCCAAUCAGCGAGCGGUUCCCGACAGCCCCAACGCCGGUAAUGGGUCGGUUUGGAGAGGACGGGGAUGGGCGAAAAGUUGGUGUUUGGGGACUGCUGGGACCGAGCCCCUCCCGCCGCAACCCCCGAGGUGCCGGACCGGCAGCGGGCACUCCGCAGGGUGCGGAGCGGGCAGCGGGGAUCGUGCAGCUGCCGGCGGGGCUGGGAGCCGGGAUGCGGAGCCGGGGUUGCGGAGCGGACGGGAGGACCGCCGCGAGCGGAUCCACGAGUUUGGCGGGCACAAAGAAAUCCGAGGUUUCCGGCUGGAUCCGCCGCCUCGAGACUGUACGAACAGCUGUUCCUGUAGCUCACGCAGCGGAUGAAGGCGACGAGAACUAAAACUUUCGCCUCCGGAGCGGUGUCUGCGUAGGGAAGCCGCUCUGCCCUGUCGGCACCGGGGGCGGCUGCCGGGCGCUCCGUUCAGGUGCCAGGCGGGUGCCCCGCCGCAGCACCGUGCCCCCCUUCGUGUCGCUGAGCCGGGUUGGAUGCCGGCAGGACGCUCCCGGCCCCCCACCCCUCGCCGAACCUCGGCCACUUGUGUUUUUUCCAUUCGGCUGCACCAGGGGGAGGGGGAAGGGGGAUGGUGCUUUGUAAAAACGGUUUUCAUGGCAACGGCGAAGUUCCCUCCGUGUGAAAGAAAACUUGGGAAAGCUGGGGUGACCGGAGAGGAGCUCCCUGCAGCUGUCAAUCACGGGCUUCCCUUUCCGUCCCUCCCCUCCCCUUCCCUUUCCUUCCCUUCCUCCCUCGGAGGCGCGAACGCCCGCACCUACGCGGCCGGGGCCGGGAGCUCCCGAAAGGCACACAGCCUGUCUGCGCUCUUUCUCCUUCCUCAUCCUCCCGCCGUGUCCCGCUCCAGCUCCGCACGGGCAGAGGCACGGGACAGCCCGUUGCCGGCGGAGAUCCAUCACUGCCGGUGCUUUGCGAUCAAACUGCACCGGGGGCGCGGGACUGGGCAGAGGGCUCGGAGCAGACGUGCCUGGGCACCCCGUCCCCUCCAGGGGGGGCGGCGAGGAGGGAAGCUGCAGCUUGGCAGCCCUCGCGGACACAUCAUUUAGCAUCCCACGGUCCAAGUUAUUAAAAGGCAAUAUUUCUCUUGAAACAUCACACAUCUCCUCACUGAUGAAUAAGAAGCAAGAAGGGGUGAGCAGGGCACCCAGCUCGGAACCUCUCGAUAAUGGUUCUGCCGCGAUCUGAACUCUCGAGAGGAGAGGCAGAAGGUGCUGUCCCGCGAAGCCGCGUUCCUCCCCCGCCGCGUGCCAGGGGAGCACCUGCGGCCGGAUUCCCAGGGAGUGGGGCUGAGGAGCGGUGCGGGUCCGGGCAGAACGAAGUGAGGCUCAGCCGUGGCUCUGCCACCAGCAUCACUCUGCUAACGCAAGGGACCCUCUCCUCGGUUGGAAGCUACAGAUCGCUGCUGAGGCAGAGUAGAGAAGGAAGGGAAAGAGAGGCAAGUCCCGCUAUACAAGCUGUUAUUUCCAAAAACGUCUUGCCGAGCGCUUUAAAAAGUCCGAUCCCAGUCCCAGCCUGGUUCCCGGUCCUUCCCGUGAGCAGAGUUGCUGCCAAGCAGGGAAGGGGCAGAAGCAGGAAAGGUGGCAGAGAGCACCCGGUAUGGGGCUGGGGAGCACCACGCCUGGAUGGAGCCAUUUUCCUAAAUUCCCUCCUCGGCUGUGGUUGGGAUGAGGAGAAGCCGUCCGGGGCUGAGAGCCCCCUGUUCCCGGUGGGAGUUGGAGGCACUCAUAGGGGCGUGAGGCAAAAGCAGGAAUUUACAGCACACUUCAAGCUGAAUGUGAGAGAAAGCCCAUGGCUGACAAGGGACAAUCGGCUUCAUAUGCGAUCAGCACUUAAUAAGCAAUAGCCAUUAAUAUCUAUUAAUUGCAGCUCCAUAGAACUUGGGGAGGGGGGUUCUUGGAAGGGGAGAUUGCUGGCUUUUAGAGCAACGCCAAAAAAGCCCCAUUUAAUCCCAUUAUUAAAACAUCCCCCCCAGCCCCGAACAUCAGUGGGGCUCAGCCUUCACAGCGAGCCCAGACCCGGAGCUGAGCCCCGUUCGUUUGGUUCCUGCUGACCCUCGCUUGGAUGAUUCCCCAAGAAUAGCCAUGUGAUGCUUAAAAGAAAGGUUCGCGUAUUUCUGCACUUGGACUCUGUUUUAAGAUUUCCCCAAAGUUUCCACAUAGUAAUGCAGCUCUCAAGUGGGUCACAUCGGGCUGAUGCUGCAGCUCCAGCUCGCUGGGUUGAGACAGGUUUGUUUUUGUUCCCCUACCAGUGGUGUCACGUCAAACCAACCUCUCCAGCUGCCUUGGACCGAGUUCCCAUUGCAGCUGGGGGUACAAAUCACCGCAGCCCCGAAUGGGUCCCCUAUCCCUUCUGCGGCUUCACCCGUACCCACUGCAGAGCACAACAGCGAUUGCAGCAUCCCUGCUGCUCAUCUGCCCCAAAGCACGAGGGAUACCUUUGAUGAUAUCAUUAAAACCAGCAACAUUUAAAAACAAAAAUCUCACGACCGUGGGUAAAACCCGGGCAGUCGUUUGGGUGCAGCUCGGUUCCUUUGAACCGAGCCUCCCAGUGCACUCAGGGGGCAGCAGCGAAUGUUGUUUUUAAUCACUUUUUCCCCCCAGCUGAACUUUUAUUUGGCUUCUACCAACAAUAGCGGGCUGCAAACAGACCUCUCGGAGCGCCGCUGAAUAGACUCUUUUCUGGCCCGGAUUGUUUCCACCGCCACAAAAACAACCAGGAGCUCCGUGUCUUAAUUGGGCUGUUCCCGGCCCUCGCUCAUUCAUUCAGGUGUUCGCCAGGAAUUUGUUUAUUAGCCUCUGACAAACAGCUCCUCCUGGUAAUCGCCUCAUGGGGUUGGCUUCUGCGGG
Gallus gallus (chicken) is the source of this 5413-nucleotide long non-coding RNA. The record is from Ensembl. NCBI's taxonomy places the organism in Eukaryota, Metazoa, Chordata, Aves, Galliformes, Phasianidae.